This is a long non-coding RNA of Daphnia pulicaria, 289 nucleotides long. RefSeq lists it as uncharacterized. The record is from RefSeq and is a predicted model, not a curated record. The transcript has 3 exons. NCBI's taxonomy places the organism in Eukaryota, Metazoa, Arthropoda, Branchiopoda, Diplostraca, Daphniidae.
CCGCCCUGGCCGACUGUUUGCCGAGCUCGCACUGUCGCUCCCUGAAGCCAGCAGUGAUUAUACGCGUACGCCAUCAACCAGUCAUAAAAAUGUCAACAAUGAAUGGGGUGGGGUGUAGCAACUUGCGAGUGCCCACCCGCAUUUUUGUGAUCUGUGGCCUCAUCAAUGUGGAACACUAAACAACAAUUCAGAUUGAAUGCGUUCCAGACGGAAUGGGCUCUAUUUGAAAAUCACAGCAAGGCACCAGACCUUUAGUCGAGACUUACCGUAAACGUCUGUGAGAAGAAGG